AGAAGCAUUUGUCCUGCUCUUCAAUUAGGGUCGUUUGAAACAGAAGUCACUAAUUGCAGUCUUUCAAUUGAAAUUAGUUUUUGCUAAAAGGUGCUUGUUUAAUAGAAGACAAUGAAUGAUUGUGUUCUCUCUUUGGCUAUUUUUUUUUUUUAAAGGGACACCAUCUUUUUUUUCAGUGAUCAUUUUCAUGAAACCAGAUUAAAAAUGAAAAUGGAUGUGGUGACAAAAACAGUUCCAUCAUCGUGUAUCAGACUUUUCACUUAAGUGGAACCAACACUAAGCGGACUACAGACAGGUCAUGAUAGACCAUCCAGUGUUUCCUGUGAUUUAGCAAAACAAUAAAAGAUCACCGUCUCAGGUCAGUGCAGCCAACAUGUUAAAAAGGUCCAAGAAUAGCAAGACAAUGCACUCACUAGGAGUAUCUGAGCAAGGGUGCACAGCACUCUGCUGCAGCAUGUUAGCUGCAGGAUCAGGGUAGCCUAGUGGUUAGAGUGUAGAGGUGGCAGGUAGCCUAGUGGUUAGUGUGUAGAGGUGGCAGGUAGCCUAGUGGUUAGUGUGUAGAGGUGGCAGGUAGCCUAGUGGUUAGAGUGUAGAGGUGGCAGGUAGCCUAGUGGUUAGUGUGUAGAGGUGGCAGGUAGCCUAGUGGUUAGAGUGUAGAGGUGGCAGGUAGCCUAGUGGUUAGUGUGUAGAGGUGGCAGGUAGCCUAGUGGUUAGUGUGUAGAGGUGGCAGGUAGCCUAGUGGUUAGAGUGUAGAGGUGGCAGGUAGCCUAGUGGUUAGUGUGUAGAGGUGGCAGGUAGCCUAGUGGUUAGAGUGUAGAGGUGGCAGGUAGCCUAGUGGUUAGUGUGUAGAGGUGGCAGGUAGCCUAGUGGUUAGAGUGUAGAGGUGGCAGGUAGCCUAGUGGUUAGAGUGUAGAGGUGGCAGGUAGCCUAGUGGUUAGUGUGUAGAGGUGGCAGGUAGCCUAGUGGUUAGAGUGUAGAGGUGGCAGGUAGCCUAGUGGUUAGAGUGUAGAGGUGGCAGGUAGCCUAGUGGUUAGAGUGUAGAGGUGGCAGGUAGCCUAGUGGUUAGAGUGUCGAGGUGGCAGGUAGCCUAGUGGUUAGAGUGUAGAGGUGGCAGGGUAGCCUAGUGGUUAGAGUGUCGAGGUGGUAGGGUAGCCUAGUGGUUAGAGUGUAGAGGUGGCAGGUAGCCUAGUGGUUAGAGUGUCGAGGUGGUAGGGUAGCCUAGUGGUUAGAGUGUCGAGGUGGUAGGGUAGCCUAGUGGUUAGA
Oncorhynchus keta (chum salmon) is the source of this 1263-nucleotide long non-coding RNA. RefSeq lists it as uncharacterized. The transcript has 3 exons. The record is from RefSeq and is a predicted model, not a curated record. Lineage: Eukaryota; Metazoa; Chordata; Actinopteri; Salmoniformes; Salmonidae.